UCAAAUUAUCAAUUGACUUGGCUCUGAUCUCUGAAACGAGCCGUAUAGGCAAUCCGCUGCACAAACCCAAGUUCCGAAGGUGCGACUCUGUGAGGGGACCUCACAACUUGCCAGCCCUUGCACAAAGUUGUUGAUUCUUCCUCCCAUCUUCGCCUGCGAUUACGUUUAUCUGUUCGUCUUCCUCUUCUUCGCUGUGCAAUCGGAGAAACUCUUUUCUGACGCUAAACCUAACCUUCAAGGUAACCUCAAAUGUCUGGAAGGAACCGUGGUCCCCGAGAACCAAUCAAUGAUCGGCGGGGCUACCCACCUGAACGGCUCUUCAUUCCAGGGCCUCCGUUGCCUCGCCCUCCUAUGCCGCCUCAUCCAGCUCUAUUGGAAGAGGAACUUGAAAUGCAGCACACAGAAAUCCGGAGGUUAGUGUUAGAGAACCGAAGGCUGAUUGAGGACCGAAUGGUAUUUCAGCGGGACCUUGCAGCUACAAAAGAGGAACUUCAUAGGAUGAACCUUGCCAUUGCCGAAAUUCAUGCAGAACGAGAUCUGCAUGCAAGGGAAUUUAAUGAGAAAAGACAGAAGUUGGAAUCUGAUAUUCGGGCAACCAAGCCCUUGAAGAAUGAGGCUGUACAAUUGCGAGCUGAAGUGCAGCAACUUAAGAAUGUUAACAAGGAUCUUGAAGCGAAGGUUCAGACACUUACCCAAGAUCUUCUGAGGUUACAAGCUGAUAAUCAACAAAUUCCUAUGUUGAAGGCUGACAUCGAUGGAAUACAUCAAGAGCUUAUGCGUGCUAGAUCCAUGGUUGAUUAUGAAAAGAAAGGAAACAUAGAGAUGAUGGAACAAAGACAGGCAAUGGAGAAAAAUUUGGUCUCCAUGGCUCGGGAAGUUGAGAAAUUACGUGCUGAGUUAGCUAGUUCCAAUGGCAGACAUUGGGGUGCUGGUGGGACCUACGGGACUAAGUUUGGCAGCCCUGAGGGAAGUUUUCCAGCUCCAUAUCCCGAUGGAUAUGGUGUUCAUAUGGGAGGUGCUUCAUGGGGACAUCAUGAGAAGGCUCGCAUGAAUCGUCGUUGAGAUUGUAGGAUCGCUGUUGGAGAUGAAGAACAGCUUCCUCCAUUACUCUGCUUUGUGUUGGGGGAAUGGCUGAAACAACUUAGCAAGUCCUUCUAUGUUCACAUCACUGGUCAUUUAUCUGGAUAUAUUAUUGGACGCUUGGAAUCUUGUCAAUGCUGGUGAUCUAGAAGAGGAAAAAGAAAUGCCUGUCUUUGACGCUAAUGUGGGAGAUAGAUCUCUGGGAAGACCAAAAGGCUUUUGAUUUCUUUUUUUGCCGGGUUAGCAAAAUCUGAAGAUGCUUAUUCUGGGAUGAAGAUUUGUCAACCACCCUUAGAAGGGUUUGGUUGCUUUGCCUGGUGGUGAGGGAGUUGUGUAGACAAAAUAACAUGGGAAGAUCACAUGGGAAUUUAUUGUUUCAAGGAGCGUAUUCCGACCAUGUUUGUUUGGGGAUGAAGAUUCUUCGGCCAUAUAAUUCAAAGCAUAUUUUGCCUGAGUGGGGAAUGGUGAGGAAUCCUUGGUAAAGAGUAAAUUGAGGAAAAACGUAAAGUUCACUGUUUGCACGGGGAAAAAAUCCAAUGGUUACUUGUUGGGGGAUGAAGAUUGGUCCGUCAUUUGG
RNA transcript from Neltuma alba, 1657 nucleotides. It is a transcript of the gene named protein FLX-like 3, with no coding region annotated. The record is from RefSeq and is a predicted model, not a curated record. The transcript is spliced from 6 exons. Lineage: Eukaryota; Viridiplantae; Streptophyta; Magnoliopsida; Fabales; Fabaceae.